Molecule: ribosomal RNA, 200 nt
Filed under: Triticum aestivum (bread wheat)
Lineage: Eukaryota; Viridiplantae; Streptophyta; Magnoliopsida; Poales; Poaceae
Description: partial small subunit ribosomal RNA
Rfam family: Bacterial small subunit ribosomal RNA
Source: RNAcentral
GGCUGGUCCGAGAGGAUGAUCAGCCACACUGGGACUGAGACACGGCCCAGACUCCUACGGGAGGCAGCAGUGGGGAAUUUUCCGCAAUGGGCGAAAGCCUGACGGAGCAAUGCCGCGUGGAGGUGGAAGGCCUACGGGUCGUCAACUUCUUUUCUCGGAGAAGAAACAAUGACGGUAUCUGAGGAAUAAGCAUCAGCUAA